Molecule: long non-coding RNA, 355 nt
Organism: Eucalyptus grandis
Lineage: Eukaryota; Viridiplantae; Streptophyta; Magnoliopsida; Myrtales; Myrtaceae
Exons: 3
Source: RefSeq, a predicted model, not a curated record
CCCGUGCAAGACAGACUCGGCCUCCGCUUGUGGUGCCGAAGAAGCCCUAGAUUCGGCGGCGAAGCCCUCAACGACUUGCCCUGCUGCAUCGCGUACAAUUCCGGCGAUAGAACAAGUAAACGCACCUGGAACCCAUGACGCAUCAACGUUCAUCUUGAUCUCCCAUCUGUUCGGUGGCUUCCAGCGAACCGCUCCAGUAGAUCCGCUGGUUUUGGGGGCUGUGCUCUGAAAAUCCAAUCGUUCCGGGCCUUCCAGAUCUGCCAUAGAACCAAGCCGAUGAACUCCCGUGCAGAGAUUUUCUCUGGUGGGUAUAGCAUUCUGACAGAGACUCCAGAGAAAGGUUCUAAUUUUCGGG